This 483-nucleotide ribosomal RNA is filed under the name uncultured bacterium. RNAcentral describes it as "partial 16S ribosomal RNA". It matches the Rfam family "Bacterial small subunit ribosomal RNA", at positions 28 to 507 of the family's 1533-position model. The record is from RNAcentral.
GACGAACGCUGGCGGCGUGCUUAACACAUGCAAGUCGAACGCUGAAGCUCAGCUUUUGUUGGGUGGAUGAGUGGCGAACGGGUGAGUAACACGUGAGUAACCUGCCUCCUUCUUUGGGAUAACGCCCGGAAACGGGUGCUAAUACUGGAUAUUCACUGGUCUUCGCAUGGGGGUUGGUGGAAAGGGUUUUUCUGGUGGGGGAUGGGCUCGCGGCCUAUCAGCUUGUUGGUGGGGUGAUGGCCUACCAAGGCUUUGACGGGUAGCCGGCCUGAGAGGGUGACCGGUCACAUUGGGACUGAGAUACGGCCCAGACUCCUACGGGAGGCAGCGGUGGGGAAUAUUGCACAAUGGGCGCAAGCCUGAUGCAGCGACGCCGCGUGAGGGAUGGAGGCCUUCGGGUUGUGAACCUCUUUCGCUCAUGGUCAAGCCGCAACAAUGGUUGUGGUGAGGGUAGUGGGUAAAGAAGCGCCGGCUAACUACGUG